AGAGUUUGAUCAUGGCUCAGGACGAACGCUGGCGGCGUGCCUAAUACAUGCAAGUCGAACGCUUUUUCUUUCACCGGAGCUUGCUCCACCGAAAGAAAAAGAGUGGCGAACGGGUGAGUAACACGUGGGUAACCUGCCCAUCAGAAGGGGAUAACACUUGGAAACAGGUGCUAAUACCGUAUAACACUAUUUUCCGCAUGGAAGAAAGUUGAAAGGCGCUUUUGCGUCACUGAUGGAUGGACCCGCGGUGCAUUAGCUAGUUGGUGAGGUAACGGCUCACCAAGGCCACGAUGCAUAGCCGACCAUGAGAGGGUGAUCGGCCACACUGGGACUGAGACACGGCCCAGACUCCUACGGGAGGCAGCAGUAGGGAAUCUUCGGCAAUGGACGAAAGUCUGACCGAGCAACGCCGCGUGAGUGAAGAAGGUUUUCGGAUCGUAAAACUCUGUUGUUAGAGAAGAACAAGGAUGAGAGUAGAACGUUCAUCCCUUGACGGUAUCUAACCAGAAAGCCACGGCUAACUACGUGCCAGCAGCCGCGGUAAUACGUAGGUGGCAAGCGUUGUCCGGAUUUAUUGGGCGUAAAGCGAGCGCAGGCGGUUUCUUAAGUCUGAUGUGAAAGCCCCCGGCUCAACCGGGGAGGGUCAUUGGAAACUGGGAGACUUGAGUGCAGAAGAGGAGAGUGGAAUUCCAUGUGUAGCGGUGAAAUGCGUAGAUAUAUGGAGGAACACCAGUGGCGAAGGCGGCUCUCUGGUCUGUAACUGACGCUGAGGCUCGAAAGCGUGGGGAGCGAACAGGAUUAGAUACCCUGGUAGUCCACGCCGUAAACGAUGAGUGCUAAGUGUUGGAGGGUUUCCGCCCUUCAGUGCUGCAGC
Molecule: ribosomal RNA, 874 nt
Filed under: uncultured bacterium
Lineage: Bacteria
Description: bacterial SSU rRNA
Rfam family: Bacterial small subunit ribosomal RNA
Source: RNAcentral